UGGGGAAUAUUGGACAAUGGGCGAAAGCCUGAUCCAGCCAUGCCGCGUGGAUGAUGAAGGCCUUAGGGUUGUAAAGUCCUUUCGGCGGGGAAGAUAAUGACGGUACCCGCAGAAGAAGCCCCGGCUAACUUCGUGCCAGCAGCCGCGGUAAUACGAAGGGGGCUAGCGUUGCUCGGAAUCACUGGGCGUAAAGCGCACGUAGGCGGCUUCUUAAGUCAGGGGUGAAAUCCUGGAGCUCAACUCCAGAACUGCCUCUGAUACUGAGGAGCUUGAGUCCGGGAGAGGUGAGUGGAACUCCGAGUGUAGAGGUGAAAUUCGUAGAUAUUCGGAGGAACACCGGUGGCGAAAGCGGCUCUCUAGACCGAUAUUGACGCUCAUACGCGAGAGCGUGGGUAGCAAACAGGAUUAGAUACCCAUGUAGUCCCUGAGCGGGCUGGCAAGGCGCAU
This 447-nucleotide ribosomal RNA is filed under the name uncultured bacterium. RNAcentral's name for it is "bacterial SSU rRNA". It matches the Rfam family "Bacterial small subunit ribosomal RNA", at positions 355 to 825 of the family's 1533-position model. The record is from RNAcentral.